Molecule: small nuclear RNA, 103 nt
Organism: Jaculus jaculus (lesser Egyptian jerboa)
Lineage: Eukaryota; Metazoa; Chordata; Mammalia; Rodentia; Dipodidae
Source: RefSeq, a predicted model, not a curated record
AUAAAAUUUUUUUGUGCUUUCUAAAAUUGGAACGACACAGAGAAGAUUAGCAUGGCCCCUGCACAAGGAUGACACGCACAUUUGUGAAGCAUUCCAUAUUUUU